GUGCGUAUUGUUAUGCGUUUACUUUUCUACAUUGGUUAGAGGUAUAGGGGGAGGGUUGAGAUCUCACAAACAUGUUUAACCCCGCUGCAUUUUUGCGCCUGUCAGGAGCCUCUGGCCUUUGUUAGUCUUGUAUUAUUUUUAAUUUUAGUUUCUUGUGUACAAUUUGGAAAUUAGUAUGGCGUUCAUUAUCACUGGACUGGUAUAUAUUUGUUUAGGGGCCAGCUGAAGGACGCCUCCGGGUGCGGGAAUUUCUCGCUACAUUGAAGACCUGUUGGUGACCCUCUGCUGUUGUUUUUUAUUUGGUCGGGUUGUUGUUUCUUUGACACAUUCCCCAUUUCCAUUCUC
RNAcentral lists this long non-coding RNA (345 nucleotides) under Mytilus galloprovincialis (Mediterranean mussel). Lineage: Eukaryota; Metazoa; Mollusca; Bivalvia; Mytilida; Mytilidae. The record is from RNAcentral.